Molecule: RNA transcript, 3614 nt
Organism: Lemur catta (Ring-tailed lemur)
Lineage: Eukaryota; Metazoa; Chordata; Mammalia; Primates; Lemuridae
Gene: IREB2
Gene name: iron responsive element binding protein 2
Exons: 23
Source: RefSeq, a predicted model, not a curated record
GCGAGACUGCUUCCUUCCUUCCUCUCUUGCCAGUCCGCCCGUCUUCUUACCCCUCCUCCCCGCUAGGCCUCCCCUCCUUCCCCUGCCGGCCCCCUCCCCGCAGGGAUAAUAUGGUCUCCGGCGAUGGACGCCCCAAGUGCAGGAUACGCCUUUGAGUACCUUAUUGAAACAUUAAAUGACAGUUCACAUAAGAAGUUCUUCAAUGUAUGUAAACUUGGAGGCACCAAGUAUGACAUUCUGCCUUACUCAAUACGGGUCCUGUUGGAAGCUGCUGUACGAAAUUGUGAUGACUUUUUAAUGAAAAAGAAAGAUGUUAUGAACAUUUUAGACUGGAAAACCAAACAAAGCAAUGUUGAAGUGCCCUUUUUCCCUGCCCGUGUUCUUCUUCAAGAUUUUACUGGAAUACCGGCAAUGGUGGAUUUUGCUGCUAUGAGAGAGGCAGUGAAAAUUCUUGGAGGUGAUCCUAAGAAAGUCCAUCCUGCCUGUCCGACAGAUCUUACAGUUGACCAUUCUUUACAAAUUGACUUCAGUAAAUGUGCAAUACAGAAUGCGCCAAAUCCUGGAGGUGGUGACCUGCAGAAAGCAGGAAGGCUCUCUCCACUUAAAGUGCAGCCUAAGAAGCUUCCCUGCAGAGGCCAGACUACCUGCCGAGGAUCGUGUGAUUCUGGAGAACUAGGUCGAAACUCAGGAACAUUUUCUUCGCAGAUUGAGAAUACACCCAUCCUGUGUCCUUUUCAUUUGCAACCAGUGCCUGAACCUGAAACAGUGUUAAAAAAUCAAGAAGUAGAAUUUGGCAGAAAUCGAGAGAGGCUUCAAUUUUUCAAGUGGAGUUCAAGAGUUUUUAAGAAUGUAGCUGUAAUCCCUCCUGGAACUGGAAUGGCUCAUCAAGUAAACUUAGAAUAUUUGUCAAGAGUGGUUUUUGAAGAAGAGGACCUCCUCUUUCCAGACAGUGUAGUUGGCACAGAUUCACAUAUAACCAUGGUGAAUGGUUUGGGAAUUCUGGGGUGGGGGGUUGGAGGCAUUGAAACAGAAGCAGUUAUGCUGGGUCUGCCAGUUUCUCUUACUUUACCAGAGGUGGUUGGAUGUGAGUUAAGUGGGUCAUCAAAUGCUUUUGUUACAUCCAUAGAUGUUGUUCUUGGCAUUACAAAGCACCUCAGGCAAGUAGGAGUGGCUGGAAAGUUUGUUGAGUUUUUUGGAAGUGGAGUUUCACAGUUAUCUAUAGUUGAUCGAACUACAAUAGCAAACAUGUGUCCAGAAUAUGGUGCUCUCCUCAGCUUUUUCCCUGUUGACAAUGUGACACUAAAACAUUUAGAACAUACAGGUUUUGACAAAGCCAAACUCAAGUCAAUGGAAACAUACCUUAAAGCUGUGAAAUUGUUUCGAAAUGAUGAGAAUUCUUCAGGAGAACCUGAAUACUCCCAGGUGAUCCAGAUUAAUCUGAAUUCAAUAGUUCCGUCUGUCAGUGGUCCAAAAAGACCUCAGGAUAGAGUUGCUGUGACAGAUAUGAAAAGUGAUUUCCAGGCUUGCUUAAAUGAAAAGGUUGGAUUUAAAGGCUUCCAAAUUGCAGCUGAAAAACAAAAUGAUAUCGUCUCUAUUCAUUAUGAAGGAAGUGAAUAUAAGCUGUCUCAUGGAUCAGUGGUCAUUGCUGCAGUUAUCAGUUGUACCAAUAAUUGUAAUCCAUCUGUCAUGCUUGCUGCAGGUCUUUUGGCUAAAAAGGCUGUUGAAGCUGGUCUGCGUGUUAAACCUUAUAUAAGAACAAGUUUAUCUCCAGGCAGUGGGAUGGUUACACAUUACCUCAGUUCAAGUGGAGUAUUACCGUACCUUAGUAAGCUUGGAUUUGAAAUAGUUGGUUAUGGAUGUUCAACAUGUGUGGGAAAUACAGCACCCUUAUCAGAAGCAGUUUUAAGUGCAGUAAAACAGGGUGAUUUGGUUACCUGUGGAGUUUUAUCUGGAAACAAAAAUUUUGAAGGUCGCCUUUGUGAUUGUGUUCGUGCCAAUUAUCUUGCCUCUCCACCCUUAGUGGUAGCUUAUGCCAUAGCGGGCACAGUGAAUAUAGAUUUCCAGACAGAGCCUUUAGGUACUGACCCUGCUGGCAAAAACAUUUUCCUGCAUGACAUUUGGCCUAGUCGAGAAGAAGUUCAUCAGGUAGAAGAAGAGUAUGUUAUACUAUCCAUGUUUAAAACAUUAAAAGAGAAAAUAGAGAUGGGAAAUAAACGGUGGAGUUCCUUAGAAGCACCAGAUUCAGUUUUAUUUCCAUGGGACUUAAAAUCUACUUAUAUCAGAUGUCCUUCAUUUUUUGAUAAACUUACCAAAGAGCCAGUUGCACUCCAGCCUAUUGAAAAUGCCCAUGUCUUACUAUAUUUGGGAGACUCUGUCACUACAGAUCAUAUAUCACCUGCUGGAAGUAUCGCGAGGAAUAGUGCUGCCGCUAAGUAUUUGACAAACAGAGGCCUUACCCCUCGAGAAUUCAACUCUUACGGAGCCCGAAGGGGUAAUGAUGCUGUGAUGACAAGAGGUACUUUUGCAAAUAUCAAGCUUUUUAAUAAGUUUAUUGGAAAGCCAGCUCCCAAAACAAUUCAUUUUCCAUCAGGACAGUCGCUAGAUGUAUUUGAGGCUGCAGAGCUGUACCAGAAAGAAGGUAUCCCGCUGAUUAUUUUAGCAGGAAAAAAAUAUGGUUCAGGAAACUCAAGAGACUGGGCUGCCAAAGGACCAUAUUUACUGGGUGUAAAGGCUGUUUUGGCUGAAAGUUAUGAAAAAAUACACAAAGAUCAUUUGAUUGGAAUUGGCAUAGCUCCACUUCAGUUCCUUCCAGGAGAAAAUGCAGAUUCCCUGGGCCUCUCUGGCAGAGAAACAUUUUCUUUAACAUUUCCUCAAGAACUGUCUCCUGGGAUUACAUUAAAUAUUCAGACAAGCACUGGAAAAGUAUUCAGCGUGAUUGCUUCAUUUGAAAAUGAUGUGGAAAUAACAUUGUACAAACACGGAGGAUUAUUAAACUUUGUGGCACGAAAAUUCUCAUAGUAUCUACUCACCAUGGAUACCUUUUGUAACUGGUAACUGCAAAGCCUUUUGUGCUGGACCCAGGAAUCCUUACCAUGGAGCUGCAGAUAGUCCCAGUAUACUCACUUAUCUCAUCCAUGGAUGUAAAUGAUUAUGAAUCAACAUAGUGACUGAAAUGAAAUCUUCUUGAUUUUAAAUAAUAUACGAAUGGUGCUAUUAACAUUGCUAAAAUCAACGUGUGAAGUGUGUUGUGGAAGAGACCUGUUUAGAAGAUAAUAAGAUACUGGAUGUUGACCCUAUCUUAGUUUGAUUUGGAGUAAUAAAGAGAGGAGAAGGGGAUGGACUUUGGCUUUUUCAGUCAUUUUUUCCCCCAUAAAGGGUGGUAAUGUCAAUGUUUAUAUCAAUUUUACACGUAAUACGUGGCUAUGAAACCAUAUAUCUCAAGUAACUACAAAUCAUUGUCUAUUAUUUAAAGCCAACAAAACAGUGUAACAGUUUUAAGUUCAAUAAUGUUAAGUAUUGUAUAGAAAUAUAUUGGAGGCAAAUCCAGUUGAUGACAAUUGUGUAUAUGUUACUGAUGCUGUAAAUUAUUUUUAAUAAAGAAAAUUGUAUUAUCA